This is a non-coding RNA of Paramuricea clavata, 746 nucleotides long. The record is from the annotation of a GenBank genome assembly. NCBI's taxonomy places the organism in Eukaryota, Metazoa, Cnidaria, Anthozoa, Malacalcyonacea, Plexauridae.
GCAUGUAUGUAUGUAUUGUUAUGGUGCGUUAUUUAUGCGUCAAAUAUAUUUUCCAAUUAGGUAUUUUUUCAACCUUUAGGCUUCGGGUUCAAAUUAUAUUAACGCUACCGUAACACAAAUAGCAUGAAACCUUAUACCUUUUAUAUAUUUUAUUUACUUUCAACAAUAUGAAUUAGCGUCUCUAUAAUGUUAUAAUAAUAUAGUAAUCUUAAUAUAUCAACUUAUCUCUCUAUUUGUUUGAGCUGAGCACAACUUUGAAUCUUUAUUCUUUAUACUUUGUAUUCCGUCUUCUUUGAUAAUAAUUAUUCCACAAUAUUCCAAUGUUCUUCAGUUUACUUGACGAGGCUUAAUUAUCUAGCCUUUUAAUUAUAUACUUCAGCCUUUGUUGGCUUAUGAAGUAUUUUAGCCUAAAUGGCUCUUCUCACUUCACUCUCCGCUCUCGACUCUCAGGUUGUGCUCAGCUUUUAUAAUAAAUUUUAGAGGAAGAAAUCUGUAACUGUGACUAAUUUCCUCUACGCAAUAUGUUUGUCAAAGCAAGUUCUAGCAGUGUUUAUCAACCACAAAACUAUGUCCUGUUUGCGUGGUUUGUGGUACUAGGCGUUUCCCGUGGUUCUUUAAUCUCUCUGAAUAUUUGCUUAUUCAUGCGAGGAAGGUUGCCUAAGGUCUUCCUCUUAUAAUUAUAACAGUAUACUGAAUAUAUAGUAUUGAAUAUAUUAAAUAACAUGGUAUAACACUGCCAUGUUACA